CUCACCACCAACCCAUUAGGGCACAGCACAGACCCUGCAAACCCAAAGAAUACUUGAAACAAGGGUGCAUGCCAGGCUUUCCCAGACACGGCCAAGGGAUGCCAGGCCUUGUACCCCUGGAUCCUAGCCCUGCCCAGGCGAGAAGGCCGUUCCCUAGAGCUAAUGAGCUGCUUUGUAAUGUUGGACGGACUGUGCAGCGGCGGAGGGAGGGGCCUGGGGCUCUGACCCAUCUGGAAGAAAACCAGAUUGGACUAAAAGGAAA
This 262-nucleotide long non-coding RNA is filed under the name Rattus norvegicus (Norway rat). Its description in RNAcentral is "long non-coding RNA NONRATT003894". The record is from RNAcentral. Lineage: Eukaryota; Metazoa; Chordata; Mammalia; Rodentia; Muridae.